GAAUUAAAAAUUUAGGUAGUCUGGCACCAAAGCACGUUGAGUUGCUUGCAAAUCAUCGUGGUGAUCUUAGGUUGGAGAGACACUUAUACCCAUAUCCCUUUGGAGUGACUCUUGACAGUAGAGUACUCUAGAGUUGGUCACUUUCAGUGAAAUAUACUUCUACAUUUCACCUGCAUGCUAUAUCAGCAUCUCUACGCUCCUUGGUUAAAAGGACAACCAACCUAUAUGGCACACAAUAACCUACACUUGAUAUAACUAUCAUCCUAGUAAUAGCCUAUCAUUUGGUUGCGAACUCAUUUAAGGACUAAAC
RNAcentral lists this long non-coding RNA (310 nucleotides) under Elaeis guineensis (African oil palm). RNAcentral's name for it is "long non-coding RNA (EGUI_LNC078541)". Lineage: Eukaryota; Viridiplantae; Streptophyta; Magnoliopsida; Arecales; Arecaceae. The record is from RNAcentral.